CCCUACCCGUGAUGUCCAGCACUGGUUUCUGACUGCCCUGAGGACAUGGUGCCCCGGGACCUUUGACACCCAGGGGUCUGAGGGGC
Nannospalax galili (Upper Galilee mountains blind mole rat) is the source of this 86-nucleotide small nucleolar RNA. The record is from Ensembl. Lineage: Eukaryota; Metazoa; Chordata; Mammalia; Rodentia; Spalacidae.